AUUGAACGCUGGCGGAAUGCUUUACACAUGCAAGUCGAGCGGCAGCGCGGGGGCAACCCUGGCGGCGAGCGGCGAACGGGUGAGUAACAUAUCGGAACGUACCCAGUCGUGGGGGAUAACUAUCCGAAAGGAUAGCUAAUACCGCAUACGUCCUGAGGGAGAAAGCGGGGGUCGCAAGACCUCGCGCGAUUGGAGCGGCCGAUAUCGGAUUAGCUAGUUGGUGGGGUAAAGGCUCACCAAGGCGACGAUCCGUAGCGGGUCUGAGAGGACGACCCGCCACACUGGAACUGAGACACGGUCCAGACUCCUACGGGAGGCAGCAGUGGGGAAUUUUUGGACAAUGGGGGCGAACCCUGAUCCAGCCAUUCGCGUGAGUGAAG
RNAcentral lists this ribosomal RNA (380 nucleotides) under uncultured bacterium. RNAcentral's name for it is "bacterial SSU rRNA". It matches the Rfam family "Bacterial small subunit ribosomal RNA", at positions 29 to 410 of the family's 1533-position model. The record is from RNAcentral.